This 69-nucleotide small nucleolar RNA is filed under the name Pterocles gutturalis (yellow-throated sandgrouse). RNAcentral's name for it is "Small nucleolar RNA SNORD58". It matches the Rfam family "Small nucleolar RNA SNORD58". From Rfam's summary of the family: snoRNA U58 is found in introns 1, 3 and 6 of the ribosomal protein RPL17 gene in humans. U58 is a member of the C/D class of snoRNA which contain C (UGAUGA) and D (CUGA) box motifs. Lineage: Eukaryota; Metazoa; Chordata; Aves; Pterocliformes; Pteroclidae. The record is from Rfam by way of RNAcentral.
UGGCAGUGAUGACUAUCUUAGGACACCUUUGGAAUAACCGUGAAAUAAUACUCUUGUUUUCUGAGCCAU